This 460-nucleotide ribosomal RNA is filed under the name uncultured bacterium. RNAcentral's name for it is "partial 16S ribosomal RNA". It matches the Rfam family "Bacterial small subunit ribosomal RNA", at positions 338 to 795 of the family's 1533-position model. The record is from RNAcentral.
CCUACGGGUGGCAGCAGUGAGGAAUAUUGGUCAAUGGACGAGAGUCUGAACCAGCCAAGUAGCGUGAAGGAUGACUGCCCUAUGGGUUGUAAACUUCUUUUAUAAAGGAAUAAAACGAGGCACGUGUGCCUUUUUGCAUGUACUUUAUGAAUAAGGAUCGGCUAACUCCGUGCCAGCAGCCGCGGUAAUACGGAGGAUCCGAGCGUUAUCCGUAUUUAUUGGGUUUAAAGGGAGCGUAGAUGGGUUGUUAAGUCAGUUGUGAAAGUUUGCGGCUCAACCGUAAAAUUGCAAUUGAUACUGGCAGUCGUGAGUACAGUUGAGGUAGGCGGAAUUCGUGGUGUAGCGGUGAAAUGCUUAGAUAUCACGAAGAACCCCGAUUGCGAAGGCAGCUUACUAAACUGUGACUGACAUUGAUGCUCGAAAGUGUGGGUAUCAAACAGGAUUAGAUACCCCAGUAGUC